AAAAAAAGUAUUACCUUUGCAACCGUUUUCGGAUAUAAGGGAAUUUGGUAGCUUGCCUCAUGGUAACGAAGCCAAAGCUGUGCCCGCAGCCGUAUAUCUCGAUUGAAGCUUGUAGCAAUAAGCCACUGUCGAACAAUUGUUUGUACAAAAAAAUGAUGGGAAGGCGUUACAAAGCGAUGAGAUGAGCCGGAAGACCUGUCCAAGAACUGUGUCAUAA
This 217-nucleotide non-coding RNA is filed under the name Porphyromonadaceae. The record is from RNAcentral. Lineage: Bacteria; Pseudomonadati; Bacteroidota; Bacteroidia; Bacteroidales.